Molecule: ribosomal RNA, 497 nt
Filed under: uncultured bacterium
Lineage: Bacteria
Description: partial 16S ribosomal RNA
Rfam family: Bacterial small subunit ribosomal RNA
Source: RNAcentral
GAUGAACGCUGGCGGCGUGCCUAAUACAUGCAAGUCGAGCGAACAGACGAGGAGCUUGCUCCUUCGACGUUAGCGGCGGACGGGUGAGUAACACGUAGGUAACCUACCUAUAAGACUGGGAUAACUUCGGGAAACCGGAGCUAAUACCGGAUAAUAUUUCGAACCGCAUGGUUCGAUAGUGAAAGAUGGCUUUGCUAUCACUUAUAGAUGGACCUGCGCCGUAUUAGCUAGUUGGUAAGGUAACGGCUUACCAAGGCAACGAUACGUAGCCGACCUGAGAGGGUGGUCGGCCACACUGGAACUGAGACACGGUCCAGACUCCUACGGGAGGCAGCAGUAGGGAAUCUUCCGCAAUGGGCGAAAGCCUGACGGAGCAACGCCGCGUGAGUGAUGAAGGUCUUCGGAUCGUAAAACUCUGUUAUUAGGGAAGAACAAACGUGUAAGUAACUGUGCACGUCUUGACGGUACCUAAUCAGAAAGCCACGGCUAACUACGUG